UACGUAGGGACCGAGCGUUGUCCGGAAUCAUUGGGCGUAAAGAGCGUGUAGGCGGCCACUUAAGUCCUGCGUGAAAUCUUGCGGCUCAACCGCAAGCGGUCGUGGGAAACUGGGUGGCUAGAGUGCGGGAGAGGAGAGUGGAAUUCCUGGUGUAGCGGUGGAAUGCGCAGAUAUCAGGAAGAACACCCGUGGCGAAGGCGGCUCUCUGGCCCGGUACUGACGCUGAGGUGCGAAAGCGUGGGGAGCAAACAGG
Molecule: ribosomal RNA, 253 nt
Filed under: uncultured bacterium
Lineage: Bacteria
Description: partial 16S ribosomal RNA
Rfam family: Bacterial small subunit ribosomal RNA
Source: RNAcentral